CCCUUAGAUGUCCGGGGCUGCACGCGCGCUACACUGAAGGAAUCAGCGCGCUAAAACCAUUGUCGAAAGGCAUUGGUAAACCCAUUAAAAUCCUACGUGAUUGGGAUCGGGAAUUGCAAUUAUUUCCCUUGAACGAGGAAUUCCCAGUAAGUGUGGGUCAUAAGCUCGCGUUGAUUACGUCCCUGCCCUUUGUACACACCGCCCGUCGCUGCCCGGGACUGAGCCGUUUCGAGAAAAGCGGGGACUGCUGCUGUCGGGGCUUUCGGGCCUUGGCUUCGGUGGAAACCGCUUUAAUCGCAGUGGCUUGAACCGGGCAAAAGUCGUAACA
This 328-nucleotide ribosomal RNA is filed under the name uncultured eukaryote. RNAcentral's name for it is "partial 18S ribosomal RNA". It matches the Rfam family "Eukaryotic small subunit ribosomal RNA", at positions 1470 to 1796 of the family's 1831-position model. The record is from RNAcentral.